AUCAAAGCAAAGGCACGCACACGCUUGUCCCGUUCCCUCGUCUCAUAAAAACUGGUGCGGCCCGCUGCCAGCCUUCAUUCACCGUUCGAAAAGUUGAGAGAGCUUCCCCCAAAAGGACCAGGCCAGACGACCCCGCCGCGAUUAUUCCCCGCACCCACCCAAUUCCCCGAGCACCGCCGCCGCGCGAUCGCCCCACCAUGUCCGGCUACCCCUACGGUGGCGCCGGAGGAGGAGGAGGCGGCGGCUACGGGGCCCCUCCGCCCUACGGCUCCUCCCCCGCCCCCUCGGCCCCGCCCUACGGCGAUAAGCCCCCCAAGGAAGGCAAGGCCUCCUCCCCCUACUACGCCUCCCCGCCCCAGACCUACGGCGCCAGCGGCGGCUACGGGGCCCCGCCCUCCUCCCAGCCCCAGUCCUACGGUGGCGGAUACGGGGCCCCGCCCUCCUCCCAGCCCCAGUCCUACGGCGGCGGCGGCUACGGGGCCCCGCCCGCCGGCCAGCCCCAGUCCUACGGCGGCGGCGGAGGCUACGGUGCUCCGCCCGCGGGCCAGUCCUACGGCGCCCCGCCUCCCUCGUCGGCGCCCUACGGGGCCCCGCCCCCCGCGGCAGCGCCGUAUGGGGCCGCUGGCGGGUACGGGAGCCCGUUCGCGGCGCUCGUGCCGUCGGCGUUCCCGCCGGGGACGGACCCCAACGUCGUGGCGUGCUUCCAGGCCGCCGACCGCGACGGCAGCGGGACCAUCGACGACAAGGAGCUGCAGUCCGCGCUCUCCGGCUACAACCAGAGCUUCAGCCUCCGCACCGUCCACCUUCUCAUGUACCUCUUCACCAACACCAACGUCCGCAGGAUCGGGCCCAAGGAGUUUACUUCUGUUUUUUACAGUCUUCAGAACUGGAGGUCUAUAUUUGAGAGGUUUGACCGUGACCGAAGUGGUAAAAUUGAUGCAUCGGAGCUGCGCGAUGCUCUUCUCAGUCUGGGUUAUUCAGUUUCUCCAACUGUGCUAGACUUGCUCGUGUCUAAAUUCGACAAGACUGGAGGCAUGAGCAAAGCAGUUGAAUAUGACAACUUUAUUGAGUGUUGCCUUACGGUCAAGGGUCUGACUGAGAAGUUCAAGGAGAAGGACACGUCUUACUCCGGGUCUGCAACUUUCAGUUACGAGGCAUUCAUGUUGACUGUGCUCCCUUUCAUCAUCGCUUGAUGGCUCCACAGUUCAAUACAAAGACUGAGCUUUGAGUGUGUUGUUCCAACUUAUGUUGAAAUGUUUUUCCAACGGAGGUGUAGUUUGUUUGGAUUCGAGUGAUGUUGCUGCGUUCCUGAUAAGGUGAUACCCUGGAGAUUGGAAACUGGUGUAUGAUGGUAGAGCCUGUGGACGGUCAGUGAGAUUGGGUUUUGAUCAUAUUUUAUUUCCCUUUGAUGAGGCGGCUUAGUUCAAAAUUUGUUUACAUCAAUCAAACCUAAAUUAACCCGACUGGGAAUUGUUUUAUUAUUUUUGCUAGCAUAUCACUGCUAAAAUCGUAGACAAAAAAAAGUCUUUACACUGCAUUCAAAUGCAAAUA
RNAcentral lists this ribosomal RNA (1551 nucleotides) under Triticum aestivum (bread wheat). RNAcentral's name for it is "partial small subunit ribosomal RNA". Lineage: Eukaryota; Viridiplantae; Streptophyta; Magnoliopsida; Poales; Poaceae. The record is from RNAcentral.